AAAAGGGCGAUUAUCCCAGAGUUAACAUAUUGUCAUAGUUAGCUACUUAGCACAGUGCCUCACAAAAACAGUAAAAUAGCAUCAAUAUUUUUAUUGCUUCAAUGUAUGUCUUUAUAGCAACUUCAAAAACAGUAAAAUAGCAUCAAUAUUUUUAUUGCUUCAAUGUGUGUCUUUUUCUCUCUUUGGACUCCUGCCUUUUAUAACAGUGUGUCAGACCACGUGGGAAGGCAAAAGAAGAGUACAAAGGAGAUGGAGACCCAGCAGACAAGAAUUUCCCACUGUGUAAACCAUCCUGAGAAGUGGCCUGAAUUGAAGAACCAUCAAGACCUUGCAGUUUUGACAUUUGCAGAAAGAUGUGUGGGAGUACAAGAGGUUCAUGGGAAGAAACUACAUCUUACUGAACUGCUAUAAGAGCCUGAUGUUCUCUGGAUGCGUGGGGACACAGAGAUGAAUGGAUGCAGGUGUAAAUCAGUGACUUGGCUUGAAUCAACACAGUAUCCUCUCUUUCCACAACUAUUAGUUUAAACAUUACUACUCAUCACAGUCAUUUCAAAGUACUCAAGCUAGUAAAUCGUGCAUGGCAAUUUUUGUGAGUCACUUAAACUUGAUACUACUUUUGUUAUCUUUCAAAAUGCAUGAGUAAGUCCUGCUUGAGAAUAAAGUCUGCACAGAAGAAAGCAGCAUCAAGAAACAGAUGGAGGUGCAGAACUCUGAAAGUGGUAUAGGAGAACCGGGAUCCAGCUAUGUCAGCAGUAAACUGUUUCUUAGCUGUUGUGUUGUAUAAGCCAGUAAGUCUCUCACCCUCUCUUCCUUUCUAUUUUAUUCCUCCAUAACUUUCUGCGAUUAGUAAAGAACCUUCUCUGAAUUCAUUAGAGAAGAAUAUCUAACUUAAACUGUCUUAAACAAAAUGGGUCAAAACAAAUAUCUAAGAGUUGUUUUGCUAGUUUCCUCUUUUCUUUAUCACUGUCUUCUUCCCUUAGAUUUUACACUUAUUGUGACUUAUUGUGAAAAUACAUACAUUCAUAUAUACAUAAUAAAAGUGAGAAAAAAGGAAUAAAUUAAUGUUGGUUAGUACUUGGUUUAUGAAAAGGAGAAAGUAAUCAUGAGAAUACUAGUCUGAAGGACAAGAGACACAGGUUCUAAUACUACCUCUGCCUUUAAUUUGUCUUGUGGUAUUUAGUGAAAACAAAAAGCAUUUAGUCAAAUAAGUGGAAAACAAACCAAGUAUUGGUUUUAAAUUAAAUUCUUGAAUUUCUAAAAAGUGUAAAAAAUAACAAUGUGAGAUUUUAGCCUAUUUUAAAACAUAAAUUUCAAAUAUCUCUUAAAAAUCAUAGAUGUAAUGGGGAAAUUCCUGCCCAAACCAAAGCAUCCUCCUAUUUUUGUUAAUAUGCAUGGUCUUAUUUGAACUCAGCCUGGUAACUUUGGUUUACUCAUGGAAACAAAAAGGGUUAUGACUUGUGGGCUAUAUAUGCCUUUGAUUAAUAAUAAAUUUGUAGUCAAUUAUUAUUUAAUAAACUCCAUGGGUUUGGAAGACCACAGCCAGCUGGUCCUGUGGUUCCUGACCUUUAUUUCCCCAACAAGACCCUUU
This 1588-nucleotide long non-coding RNA is filed under the name Homo sapiens (human). Its description in RNAcentral is "HSALNT0232086". Lineage: Eukaryota; Metazoa; Chordata; Mammalia; Primates; Hominidae. The record is from RNAcentral.